CAGAAAGUCACAUGCUUUAUAAUGCAGCUCUCUUCAUGACUGUGUACCAAGGUAAGAAAUUCACGAAGUGCUUGAACAGGAGUGGAGUUUUGGUGGCAGCCAGUGAGGAGACUCUGUGUGGAUUUCCUGGAGAACUUGGAUGGGAGAGCAUGAAGCCAGAGAGAAGGAUGAGAAAGUUGGACAUUGCCUGUAAUAUUUUGCACUCUCACAGUCUGUAGGAAAUUCCAAGAGGCUAUGGAAACACCUCUUACUUAGCUACUGCUGACUGGAAAUCUGGUACCCCCACAAAGUGCUCUGAGGUGCUCAGCAGGGGAAAAAAGCCCUCUAAAAUCAAGGUAUGUUGUUCUUGGGAUUAUUUCCUAUUUUUUAGUAGAAGACUCUUCUUGAAUGUUCAUUUUAAGGCAGCGCUGGAGAAAAAUCAGUAAAUAAACUAGCCAUCAGUGAGUUCUUCCACUCUAUCAUUUUAGGGAAAGACCUCAAUAUUAUAUAGAUUAGGGUUUUUGGUGUGUUUGGCUUUGGGGUCAUCCUCUUUGACGUCAUCAAGGUCAUUGUGUUAUUCCACUAACUUUGGGGCUUGGUGGUAUGUGUUCUGGCUGGCUCUGUGACUUCCUGCCUAGCUCACCUUUGCUAGUGCUCUAGGCUUUAUCUCUGUUGUCUGCCUUAGCCUCUGCUAUGCAGGGCAGUGGGGGCAGGUGGAAGGUCAUGAAUUAGUACACAGAGAUUUAUGUCAGAGGUUCAGCUCUUACUGUACUGUUUUGUUGGGAGAGUGGUGUAAAGUGAGGACUGAUCCCCCCUCUACUCUCUUGGGAAAUUGAGUCUUACUACCUUUAUCCUCAGUGUACUUGCUUUUGCAUGUUUGAAAAAGAGCAUUUUGUAAUGGAUGGAAAUAUACGAGUGUGUGCUUUUAUAUUACUUUUGUUGUUGAGACCUCUCUCAAUCUUAUUUCUGUUAUCUGUAAAAUAGGAAUAACACUCUGGCAUCUUCAUACCAUACCUGAAUUAAGACUUUGCCUUGUUCACUGUAUCUAGGAUAAUGCUUGGUGCUUUGUAACUACUUAAU
This 1059-nucleotide long non-coding RNA is filed under the name Ovis aries (sheep). Its description in RNAcentral is "lncRNA (ENSOARG00000026961.1)". Lineage: Eukaryota; Metazoa; Chordata; Mammalia; Artiodactyla; Bovidae. The record is from RNAcentral.